GGCCGUGUGGCUCAAUGGCAGAGCGUCUGACUACGAUCAAGUAAAUCAGGAGGUUGCAGGUUCGACCCCUGUCUCGGUCA
RNAcentral lists this transfer RNA (80 nucleotides) under Trichoderma harzianum. Its description in RNAcentral is "Hypocrea lixii tRNA". It matches the Rfam family "tRNA". From Rfam's summary of the family: Transfer RNA (tRNA) molecules are approximately 80 nucleotides in length. Lineage: Eukaryota; Fungi; Ascomycota; Sordariomycetes; Hypocreales; Hypocreaceae. RNAcentral also lists the same sequence under 1 other name. The record is from Rfam by way of RNAcentral.